Molecule: ribosomal RNA, 810 nt
Filed under: uncultured bacterium
Lineage: Bacteria
Description: bacterial SSU rRNA
Rfam family: Bacterial small subunit ribosomal RNA
Source: RNAcentral
GAAUUCGCCCUUAGAGGGUCCUUUUGGGUCAGGAUGAACGCUGGCGGCGUGCCUAACACAUGCAAGUCGAGCGAAGCACUUUACUUGAUUUCUUCGGAUUGAAGGUAUAGUGACUGAGCGGCGGACGGGUGAGUAACGCGUGGGUAACCUGCCUCAUACAGGGGGAUAACAGUUAGAAAUGACUGCUAAUACCGCAUAAGACCACAGCACCGCAUGGUGCGGGGGUAAAAACUCCGGUGGUAUGAGAUGGACCCGCGUCUGAUUAGCUAGUUGGUAAGGUAAGGGCUUACCAAGGCGACGAUCAGUAGCCGACCUGAGAGGGUGACCGGCCACAUUGGGACUGAGACACGGCCCAAACUCCUACGGGAGGCAGCAGUGGGGAAUAUUGCACAAUGGGGGAAACCCUGAUGCAGCGACGCCGCGUGAGUGAUGAAGUAUUUCGGUAUGUAAAGCUCUAUCAGCAGGGAAGAAAAUGACGGUACCUGACUAAGAAGCACCGGCUAAAUACGUGCCAGCAGCCGCGGUAAUACGUAUGGUGCAAGCGUUAUCCGGAUUUACUGGGUGUAAAGGGAGCGUAGACGGAGAGGCAAGUCUGAUGUGAAAACCCGGGGCUCAACCCCGGGACUGCAUUGGAAACUGUUUUUCUAGAGUGUCGGAGAGGCAAGUGGAAUUCCUAGUGUAGCGGUGAAAUGCGUAGAUAUUAGGAGGAACACCAGUGGCGAAGGCGGCUUGCUGGACGAUGACUGACGUUGAGGCUCGAAAGCGUGGGGAGCAAACAGGAUUAGAUACCCUGGUAGUCCACGCCGUAAA